UACGGGGGGGGCAAGCGUUGUUCGGAAUUACUGGGCGUAAAGGGCUCGUAGGCGGCCAACUAAGUCAUACGUGAAAUCCCUCGGCUUAACCGGGGAACUGCGUCUGAUACUGGAUGGCUUGAGAUUGGGAGAGGGAUGCGGAAUUCCAGGUGUAGCGGUGAAAUGCGUAGAUAUCGAGAGGAACACCUGCGGCGAAGGCGGGUUGCUGGGCUGACACUGACGCUGAGGCGCGAAAGCUAGGGGAGCGAACGGG
This 253-nucleotide ribosomal RNA is filed under the name uncultured bacterium. RNAcentral describes it as "partial 16S ribosomal RNA". It matches the Rfam family "Bacterial small subunit ribosomal RNA", at positions 524 to 776 of the family's 1533-position model. The record is from RNAcentral.